UAUAAAGUUUCCAGAGGCCAAACUCUAACUUUUUUAGUGGUUUGUUUGAUGGAGGCUUAUUUUUGAGACAUCUUUAUUUAUUUUGUAUUUUCAGUCUUUGAAACUUGACAAUUUUACUAUUAAUUAACCUCAUUCCCCAAUUAAUGAUCCAUAAUGCUAGAUUAAUUACCUGUGGUUUACACCUCAUACACUAGAAGGGUCACCAUUCAUACACUACCAUACUCUUGAUACUUUAUCUUGAUUACUUAUAAUGUAUACCACACACAUCGUUUCUUAAUUGUCAUCUGUGAGAAUGAACAAUAUAAUUUUGAGUUCAGAAAUGACAGUUAUAUUUAACUUAGAGAGCACCACAUUUCUAAAAAUAGUUUUUGUGAAUUUCUAUAAUGGUUAUCCAAAUAUAAAAGGCUACUACAAACAUCCAUUUUUUAGCUCGACUAUUUGAAGAAUAGGUGUGCUAUACUACUCGCCCCAGUGUCGGCGUCGGUGUCGGCGUUGGCGUCGGCGUCUGGUUAAAGUUUUAGGGCAAGUUGGGAUUUUUACUUAUAAGUCCAAUACCCUUCCUUCAAUUGACUUAAUACUUCACACAGUUGUUCAGGGCCAUCACAUGAUGAGGUUAGAUAACUCCAUAUUAUUCUUUACACAGAUUAUGGCCCCUGAUUGACUAUGGAACUUAGGUUAAAGUUUUAGGGCAGGUUGGGAUAUUUAUAAAUAACUUCUAUACCCUUUGUUCAAUUGACUUAAUACUUCACACAGUUGUUCAGGACCAUCACACAAUGAGGUUACAUAACUCAAUAUUAUCCUAAAUACAAGUUAUGACCCCUGAUUGACUUAGGUUAAAGUUUUAGGGCAAGUUGGGAUUUUCACUUAAAACUCCAAUACCAUUCAUUCAAUUGACUUAAUACUUCACACAGAUGUUCAGAGCCAUCACAUAAUGAGGUUAGAUAACUCCAUAUUAUCUUUUAUACAAAUUAUGGCCCCUGAUUGACUAUGGAACUUAGGUUAAAGUUUUAGGGCAGGUUGGGAUAUUUAUUUAUAAAUACUUCUAUACCCUUCAUUCAAUUGACUUAAUACUUCACACAAUUGUUCAGGACCAUCACCCAAUGAGGUUACAUAACUCCAUAUCCUUAAUACAAGUUAUGGCCCCUGAUUGACUUAGGUUAAAGUUUUAGGCAAGUAAAAGUUAAGGGCAAGUUGGGAUUUUAAUAAAAAAACUUCUAUACCGUUCAAUAAAUGCACUUAAUAAAAUUCAAAAUUAUUUACGACCAUCUUACAACAAGAAACAUAACUCCAUUUUAACCCUAAAUACAAAUUAUGGCCCUUGAUUUUUUGAUUUUUUUUUUAAUUUCUUUUGAAAGGCAUAUUUGUAUAUUCUUAACCACAUUUUCAUAAUGGGAAAUCAAGUUAUUUGAAUGACUUGCGUCAUUGUUUGGGCGGGCUGGUGGGAGGGCAGCAUUUAAAGUCACCUUAUGUAUCGAAUAAUUUUAGUUAGGUUUGACAUAAAGAGACCAAACUUGGUAAUAUUAUAUCGUUAUUGUAUUCUAAGUCAAAGGGGCAUAGUCGAGCGCGCUGUCUUACAACGGCUCUUGUUUAGAAUGGCCUAAGCACUUCAUAAAUUCCUAUUGUUAUUUUGUUUACUGGCAAACCACAUUUUCUACUUGCACAAUAAAUAAUAGCCACAUAUUUACUUAUUCUCAAUUGAAAGUAAACUAUUUGUUUUAUAAUAAAUGGAAAAAAGUGUUUUCCAAGUCCAAGUUUUUCACAUUGAAAAAAAGUAUAAUUUUGUUAUAUAUUUUUAUAUUGUUUGAGCUCCCUGUAUUGUGUGUAUUAGAAAAUCAAACUUAUUAUGACCAACGAUAUUCUUUUAAUAUUCUGUUAAUAAAUAUGAUAAUUGUAUAACUUGGCACAUGAUUGCAAAUGAUUGAUAAAUGUAAUUUAAAACAAUUUAUUGCAAAUAUUCAGCAUGUAAAUUAAUUUAUAUCUUUCUUUUUUCCUAACAGUAUGUGUUAUUGCCAUAUUUAAUACUUUCAUAUGCAAUUUCCUUAAAGCUUAAUCUUUUUUUUGUUUCAUAUGAACUUAGAUAUAGCAGUUGAAAUGAAUUUCUUAAAUGUUAAUGUUUUUGGCUUACAUGAUGCCCAGAGUCUAGUUAUUUAAAUCCUUAAGAUAGCUUCAAAAUUGAUUACCGUAGCUUGAUUAAGUAAACAUUUUCUCACAUGAUUUGUGUUAGGGCUAUUCCAUUUAAACACAUAACCCCCAGGGGGAAGGCAUAUUUAAUUUAUGCCACCCCCCUACAGAUGCAAAUUCACCCUUGUGGGGUCCGUGGGUUAUAUGUUUUACUAGAAUAGCCCUUAAGACUUAAACAUGGUGUCCAGUCUUCUAUGAUGUCAUAAUCAGUGUGUCAUAAUAUUCUUGUAUUUUGAUCAGGAUUUUAAGCCAUAAUAUGAUUUUAUAUAUUCACACAUACUCAUAUGAUUGUGAAUAUAAGGCCAUCCUUAAUAAAAAACAACACUUGGUUUUCUGUGGACAAGUCUGCAGACUUUUCUGUUGAUUAUUUAGGCAGGGAAUUACAUGUGUUCAAGACCCAAAAAUAUUAUGAAUAUAUGAUGUCGUUGCAAAUUUGAUUUCGGGCAUUUGGGAUAAGAUGGCCAAGCUACUGCAAACAAAUGUGUUUUUUAAAGGAUGGCUUUAACUUUAUUCACCUUUAUGAUACUCAGUUUAACCCUGUAUAUAACUCAUUUUAUUAAUGUAAUAGUUAUACCAUCAGUAAAUAAUUGACAGUAUUGAAUAUUAUACCUUCACAUCAUCUGCAAAGAUCUUGGUAUUAUACAUUUUGUAACUUGUGCGUAUAGCUUUAUUUACGGUACAUUUUGUAACUUGUGCUAGCUUUAUUUAUGGUACAUUUUGUAACUUGUGCUAGCUUAAUUUACGUUAAGUGCAUUGCAAUUCAUUUUUCUCAAUCUAAAAAUUGUUUGUAUGCUUAUUGGUAAAAUAACCUGAAAUAAAUAUUGCAUGAUUCAUUUGCAUAAGGUAUUAACAUGUAAAAUUACCAUAGACAUAUAUGGCCAUGAUAUUACUCACAUAGAUUCUUUAUUUGAUAACAGCAGUUUUGACAUUUGCUAGCUUUAUUGUUCAACUUGUAGUGCAAAAUGUUCAGUUUUACUAUUAGCUGCACUCUCCCAGAUUGUACAUUUUGACAACUUUUUUUUUCUUUCUGGGAAUGAGCCAAUUCUUGGGUUAAUAAUGUCUGAAAACCAGUGAUAUAAGACUGCUGACAAAGAUCAGAUCGCAGAUUUUCAUAUUUACAUUCGAAAAUUUAUGUUUUAUGGCUAAAAGCGGUACUAACACUUUAAGAGAAAUGAGGUUUUGGGCAGUUUUCCAAACUAUUGAGAUCUGUUCUUUAAUGAGUUAUCUUAUAUGACUGAUUUGAUGGCAUUGAUACCAAAAUCAGCUGAUUCUGAGACAAAAAAAUAAAAUAAAAGUCCAAACUGUCAAACUGUUAAAAAAACAACAGCUUUUUAAUAUUCACAUAGCAUAAACUUGCAAAACGUCAAGUAAAAACUGAUCAGAAAUGCAAAAUAUAUGUUACAGGCAAUGAUUUAAGAUCAAGUGCGUGAUACUAUUUGAUAUUGAAAGGUUAACUGUUGUGCUAGAUUUGAAAGACCAUAUAGGUUAUGAUCUUAAAAUCAUGCAACCCAUAUGUGAUAUUAUUGCACUACAUAUGAAAGUUUCAUGAACUAUCAUUGUCGGCAGGCAUGUUGAAUGUGCUUUAAGCAUUGAUUUAUUCUAAAUUGAGUAAUAGGUCCAUAAAAGUUUAUGCAAAACUAAACACAAUUUAUUGUAAGAUGGUAUUAAAAUUACACUUUUAAGAAUGAAGGAGAAUGAUGUCUUUUUUAGAUGGUGAAAAUAAAAGAUAUUAAAUUAUUUGACUUUGUAUAUGUGACGACGCCUGUAGAAAGGGGUACAAAGUCGGCAAUUUCAAUUUCGAGAAAAACGUGUUUAAAGUUUUGUUGAUUUAUUUCACUCACUUUAAUUGGUAUAAGUCACCAUUUCUGUGUUAGAUUUAUAAAUUUUAACGUACAACAAUUGUUUAAAUUGCAUCCAUGGAAUAUACAUAUUCUCCGACAACAAUGUUACCGAUAGCGACGAGUUAUAAUAACAACAAGGUUAUCUCCCUUAUGCAUAUACGUAAUUUCCGGUUGGUAAUUAAGAAACAAGAAAUUUUCAAACAUUUACGUUUUUUUGUCAUCAUUUGCUGCUUUUCGAGGAUGCUUUUGUCGAGUUUUGACAGGACAGUAUCCAUGUUUCCUGCCCGACCCCCUCCAUUACAGUUGGGACAUUGCCUGCCAGUUUUCUUCCCCAAUCAUGCCCAAACGACUGGUCCAAUAUUGUUCAAAACUUGAUGGAAAUGCGGUGUCAUCGUAGUUUGGAGUAUGUGCAGAGCACUCGGGACAACAAGCAGUUUAUUUCUUUGAUGAGACUGAAUUGCUUGGGAAGGGAGCAGACACUGUUGUGAGCAUGAUGAUCACUUCUUCAAGUACCAUGGCUUGGAGAAGAAAGGCCGAAAUUGACACUUUGGUCUUAGCAGCAAACAGGCCUGGCUUUGUGCAGUGCAGGUUUGCUGCAUCGGUGAUGGUUUAGUUUACCUGAUGAAAACCAGAGCGGUUGUGUACCCUGAACUCCUUUCCGAAUUCUUCAUCAAGGGGCUGAAUCUUGAAUGGCAGUGGUAUUAACAUGACAAGAUCAGAGAAUACAGCAGAUUAGACAUUGAAAAAGACAGUGUGCCCUGGACAGUCUCAACCAAAGCAUUAAACAAACUGUACAACCUGUUAAUUAACUUUUUAGAGCUGUUUGUUUGGACUAGUGUUUGUCGUUCAUAAAUAAGUAAUAACAUUAUUUCUCAGUAUAAGAAAUCUGUAGGAAUUAGAAGCUGAUAUUUACUGUAACUAUAUAAACAAACCUUUUAGGGGUUUAGCCAGGUUAAAGAAAGACAGGGAGCUACUGAAAAGAGACAGGUUUCCAUGCUUCAAUAGGACACCCUUCAUUGAUCUGUGAAGAAUUUUAACAUUUUGAAUGUUUCAGAAAAUGUUAGGAAUAUUGUAUAAUGUUUAAUUGAAGUACUAUUAGGUUUCAAGUGCCAAAUAUGUAAAGCCUGUGUGUAUUUAUAAUCUUGUGAAUAUAAGUUGUUAUCAAAACAAAAUCAAUAUUUGACUGUCUUAAGCUUUUAAUUCUAUGAAGGCAGGAGGUUGCCAAUCUUGUUCUUCAUGACGGGUGCUUCCAAAAAAGAACAGGGUGCAGAAACCUUCCAUAACUCUUGAUAGAACCCUAAUAUCCUUUUUUCAUCAAAUUACAGUAACAUUGACAAUUAACAAACGAUGCAGUGAUAAUUUUCUUAUGCUAAUAUCAUCAAUUUUUAUUGUAAGUUUUUUUCUAGAAUUGAUUUGUACAUGUAAUGUAUUGAAAAUGGAUACUUGUGGUUGCCAUGGUUACAACUUGUUUCUUAGUGUAGUAAUAUGUUUUAUAUAUAUAAAUACAAUAUUGCCUUAUGUAAACUUAUAAUAUUUUAAGAAAUAAUGAUUCAAACACAUGUACAGAGACAAUAAAUACACUACUUUGUAUUUUUGUUGCCAUGGCAACGUUUCUGUGUAUAUUUGUUACAUUUAUUGUUUUUUAUUACAUGAUUGUCCAUUAGUGAAAUUAUAAUGUGUAUAAUAAGCAUAGCUACAAAAUGCAUAGAUACAUGAAAAUACCUAUUUAUGGAUGUACAUUUUCUUCAUAUUUCGAUAAUAGAAUAUAUUUUGUACACUGACCCACCUUGGACUUAAAUCACCAUAGCAACAAAAGUCUUAAACAUUUUGAAUAAAAACAAAUAAAAAUAUAUUUGUAAAGUGUCUGCCCAUGCUUAGGCUAUUUGAGUACUUUUUAAGAGCGGCGUGUGUUAUCCCUUUUACGUUUAAUAUUGAAUGGCAUCGUAUUGUGGUUGUCAUGGUAACAUUUUGAUUGCCAUUUUAAACUUCAAUCAUAAUUUUAAAAGAAUUUUGUUACCAGUUCAAUGAUAUGUUAUUUUUUGUAAGAUAUAUAACUACAAAUUAUAUAAAGACAUAAAAAUACA
Long non-coding RNA from Mya arenaria, 6106 nucleotides. RefSeq lists it as uncharacterized. Lineage: Eukaryota; Metazoa; Mollusca; Bivalvia; Myida; Myidae. The record is from RefSeq and is a predicted model, not a curated record. The transcript has 4 exons.